CCUACGGGAGGCAGCAGUGGGGAAUAUUGGACAAUGGGCGAAAGCCUGAUCCAGCAAUGCCGCGUGAGUGAUGAAGGCCUUAGGGUUGUAAAGCUCUUUUACCAGGGAUGAUAAUGACAGUACCUGGAGAAUAAGCUCCGGCUAACUCCGUGCCAGCAGCCGCGGUAAUACGGAGGGAGCUAGCGUUGUUCGGAAUUACUGGGCGUAAAGCGUACGUAGGCGGUUAUUCAAGUCAGAGGUGAAAGCCCGGGGCUCAACCCCGGAACUGCCUUUGAAACUAGAUAGCUAGAAUCUUGGAGAGGUUAGUGGAAUUCCGAGUGUAGAGGUGAAAUUCGUAGAUAUUCGGAAGAACACCAGUGGCGAAGGCGACUAACUGGACAAGUAUUGACGCUGAGGUACGAAAGCGUGGGGAGCAAACAGGAUUAGAUACCCUGGUAGUCCACGCCGUAAACGAUGAUAACUAGUUGUUCGGGCACUUGGUGCCUGAGUGACGCAGCUAACGCAUUAAGUUAUCCGCCUGGGGAGUACGGUCGCAAGNUUAAAACCUUAAAUGAAUUGACGG
This 562-nucleotide ribosomal RNA is filed under the name uncultured bacterium. RNAcentral's name for it is "bacterial SSU rRNA". It matches the Rfam family "Bacterial small subunit ribosomal RNA", at positions 338 to 916 of the family's 1533-position model. The record is from RNAcentral.